AGUAGAUAAACAUGCUUUAAAAUUCUCAUAAAGUUGAAGGAA
This 42-nucleotide ribosomal RNA is filed under the name Elm phytoplasma 'Arlington Heights'. RNAcentral's name for it is "partial 23S ribosomal RNA". Lineage: Bacteria; Bacillati; Mycoplasmatota; Mollicutes; Acholeplasmatales; Acholeplasmataceae. The record is from RNAcentral.